GUCAGCUCAAGAGACUAUUGUUGUCAUUGCUGUGGAUCUUUACCUGAUACACUGACUUGGCUCGGGACCAGCACUCCUGUUGUUGGACAGAAAGACAUCAACUCAGUGACUUGAGAUAUGACU
Pelmatolapia mariae (spotted tilapia) is the source of this 123-nucleotide long non-coding RNA. RefSeq lists it as uncharacterized. The transcript has 3 exons. The record is from RefSeq and is a predicted model, not a curated record. Lineage: Eukaryota; Metazoa; Chordata; Actinopteri; Cichliformes; Cichlidae.